RNAcentral lists this ribosomal RNA (513 nucleotides) under uncultured bacterium. RNAcentral describes it as "bacterial SSU rRNA". It matches the Rfam family "Bacterial small subunit ribosomal RNA", at positions 41 to 556 of the family's 1533-position model. The record is from RNAcentral.
GGCGUGCCUAACACAUGCAAGUCGAACGGGCUAUUACCUUGCACUGGAUUUCAGUACAAGGUAGUAGUCAGUGGCGAACGGGUGAGUAACACGUAGGUAACCUACCCUUAAGAAGGGGAUAACCCUGUGAAAACGGGGCUAAUACCCCAUAAGACCACGGGCUGGAAGACUUGUGGUAAAAGUGGCAACACGCUUAAGGAUGGGCCUGCGGCCUAUCAGGUAGUUGGUAGGGUAAUGGCCUACCAAGCCUAUGACGGGUAGCCGGUCUGAGAGGACGGACGGCCACACGGGGACUGACACACGGCCCACACUCCUACGGGAGGCAGCAGUGGGGAAUUUUGCGCAGUGGGGGAAACCCUGACGCACCGACGCCGCGUGGAGGAUGAAGGCCUUCGGGUUGUACACUCCUUUUAUUGGGGACAAUGAUGAUGGUACCCAAUGAAUAAGCCACGGCUAACUCUGUGCCAGCAGCCGCGGUAAGACAGAGGUGGCAAGCGUUGUUCGGAUUUACUG